This 489-nucleotide ribosomal RNA is filed under the name uncultured bacterium. RNAcentral's name for it is "bacterial SSU rRNA". It matches the Rfam family "Bacterial small subunit ribosomal RNA", at positions 791 to 1273 of the family's 1533-position model. The record is from RNAcentral.
UAGUCCACGCCCUAAACGAUGAAUGUUAGUCGUCGGGUAGCUAGUCUAUUCGGUGAUGCAGCUAACGCAUUAAACAUUCCGCCUGGGGAGUACGGUCGCAAGAUUAAAACUCAAAGGAAUAGACGGGGACCCGCACAAGUGGUGGAGCAUGUGGUUUAAUUCGAAGAUACGCGAAGAACCUUACCUAGCCUUGACAUAUUUUAGAACACUUUAGAGAUAGAGUGGUGCCUUCGGGAGCUAAUAUACAGGUGCUGCACGGCUGUCGUCAGCUCGUGUCGUGAGAUGUUGGGUUAAGUCCCGCAACGAGCGCAACCCCUGUCAUCUGUUGCCAGCAUUUAGUUGGGGACUCAGAUGAUACUGCCGGUGACAAACCGGGAGGAAGGUGGGGGACGACGUCAAGUCAUCAUGGCCCUUAUGUCCUGGGGCUACACACGUGCUACAAUGGGCAGGGUACAGAGCGCUGCGAGACCGCGAGGGUUGAGGCAAAUC